RNAcentral lists this ribosomal RNA (253 nucleotides) under uncultured bacterium. Its description in RNAcentral is "partial 16S ribosomal RNA". It matches the Rfam family "Bacterial small subunit ribosomal RNA", at positions 524 to 776 of the family's 1533-position model. The record is from RNAcentral.
GACGAACCGUCCAAACGUUAUUCGGUAUCACUGGGCUUAAAGCGUGCGUAGGCUGCCUAAAAGGUGAGGUGUGAAAUCCCUCGGCUCAACCGAGGAACUGCGCUUCAAACCAUUAGGCUGGAGGAAUACAGGGGUAAGCGGAACAGAUGGUGGAGCGGUGAAAUGCGUUGAUAUCAUCUGGAACACCGGUGGCGAAAGCGGCUUACUGGGUAUUUUCUGACGCUGAGGCACGAAAGCUAGGGGAGCAAACGGG